AUACGGAGGGUGCAAGCGUUGUUCGGAAUCACUGGGCGUAAAGGGCGCGCAGGCGGUUUGUUAAGUCAGAUGUGAAAGCCCACGGCUCAACCGUGGAAGUGCAUUUGAAACUGGCAGACUUGAGUACCAGAGGGGGGAGUGGAAUUCCCGGUGUAGAGGUGAAAUUCGUAGAUAUCGGGAGGAAUACCGGUGGCGAAGGCGACUUCCUGGCUGGAUACUGACGCUGAGGCGCGAAAGCGUGGGGAGCAAACAGGAUUAGAUACCCUAGUAGUCC
Molecule: ribosomal RNA, 274 nt
Filed under: uncultured bacterium
Lineage: Bacteria
Description: partial 16S ribosomal RNA
Rfam family: Bacterial small subunit ribosomal RNA
Source: RNAcentral